This 427-nucleotide ribosomal RNA is filed under the name uncultured bacterium. RNAcentral describes it as "partial 16S ribosomal RNA". It matches the Rfam family "Bacterial small subunit ribosomal RNA", at positions 354 to 796 of the family's 1533-position model. The record is from RNAcentral.
GUGGGGAAUUUUGGACAAUGGGGGAAACCCUGAUCCAGCGACGCCGCGUGAAGGAUGAAGGCCUUCGGGUUGUAAACUUCUUUUGGAGGGGACGAAUAAAUUGACGGUACCCUCAGAAAAAGCCACGGCUAACUACGUGCCAGCAGCCGCGGUAAUACGUAGGUGGCGAGCGUUACUCGGAAUUACUAGGCGUAAAGCGUAUGUAGGCGGUUUUAUAAGUCUAUGGUGAAAUUUCCUGGCUCUACUGGGAAGGGACAUAGAUACUGUAUGGCUUGAGUGUUGGAGGGGGAGACGGAAUUCCUGGUGUAGCGGUGAAAUGCGUAGAUAUCAGGAGGAACACCGAUGGCGAAAGCAGUCUCCUGGCCAAAUACUGACGCUGAGGUACGAAAGCUAGGGUAGCAAACAGGAUUAGAAACCCCGGUAGUCC